UCAGCGAGUGAAGGGCGUGGAAAGCCCGC
RNAcentral lists this small RNA (29 nucleotides) under Bombyx mori (domestic silkworm). RNAcentral's name for it is "ovarian small RNA-25687". Lineage: Eukaryota; Metazoa; Arthropoda; Insecta; Lepidoptera; Bombycidae. The record is from RNAcentral.